RNAcentral lists this ribosomal RNA (253 nucleotides) under uncultured bacterium. Its description in RNAcentral is "partial 16S ribosomal RNA". It matches the Rfam family "Bacterial small subunit ribosomal RNA", at positions 524 to 776 of the family's 1533-position model. The record is from RNAcentral.
AACGUAGGACGCAAGCGUUAUCCGGAGUUACUGGGCGUAAAGCGCACGUAGGCGGCUUGGCAAGUCGGAUGUGAAAUCCCUCGGCUCAACCAAGGAAGUGCAUCCGAAACUGCUGAGCUUGAGUACUUAAGAGGAUCGCGGAAUUCCUGGUGUAGCGGUGAAAUGCGCAGAUAUCAGGAGGAACACCGGUGGCGAAGGCGGGUCUCUGGGCCGAUAUUGACGCUGAGGAGCGAAAGCGUGGGGAGCGAACAGG